RNAcentral lists this ribosomal RNA (795 nucleotides) under uncultured bacterium. RNAcentral describes it as "bacterial SSU rRNA". It matches the Rfam family "Bacterial small subunit ribosomal RNA", at positions 8 to 796 of the family's 1533-position model. The record is from RNAcentral.
AGAGUUUGAUCAUGGCUCAGAUUGAACGCUGGCGGCGUGCUUAACACAUGCAAGUCGAGCGGUAACAGGUGUAGCAAUACAUGCUGACGAGCGGCGAACGGGUGAGUAAUGCUUCGGAAUCUACCUAGUAGUGGGGAACAACUAACCGAAAGGUUAGCUAAUGCCGCAUACGACCUAUGGGUGAAAGCGGGGGAUCGUAAGACCUCGCGCUAUUGGAUGAGCCGAAGUCGGAUUAGCUAGUUGGUAGGGUAACGGCCUACCAAGGCGACAAUCCGUAGCUGGUCUGAGAGGACGACCAGCCACACUGGGACUGAGACACGGCCCAGACUCCUACGGGAGGCAGCAGUGGGGAAUAUUGGACAAUGGGGGAAACCCUGAUCCAGCGACGCCGCGUGUGUGAAGAAGGCCUGCGGGUUGUAAAGCACUUUUAGUGGGGAUGAAAAGUCCAGGGCUAAUACCCUUGGAUCUUGACCUAACCCAAAGAAAAAGCACCGGCUAACUCUGUGCCAGCAGCCGCGGUAAUACAGAGGGUGCGAGCGUUAAUCGGAAUUACUGGGCGUAAAGCGUGCGUAGACGGUUCCGUAAGUCGGAUGUGAAAUCCCCGGGCUCAACCUGGGAAUUGCAUUCGAGACUGCGAGGCUAGGGUGCGGAAGAGGGAAGCGGAAUUUCCGGUGUAGCGGUGAAAUGCGUAGAUAUCGGAAGGAACAUCAGUGGCGAAGGCGGCUUCCUGGUCCAGCACCGACGUUCAGGCACGAAAGCGUGGGGAGCAAACAGGAUUAGAUACCCUAGUAGUCC